Molecule: ribosomal RNA, 642 nt
Filed under: uncultured Actinomycetes bacterium
Lineage: Bacteria; Bacillati; Actinomycetota; Actinomycetes
Description: bacterial SSU rRNA
Rfam family: Bacterial small subunit ribosomal RNA
Source: RNAcentral
CGCGGCCUAUCAGCUUGUUGGUGAGGUAAAAGCUCACCAAGGCGACGACGGGUAGCCGGCCUGAGAGGGUGACCGGCCACACUGGGACUGAGACACGGCCCAGACUCCUACGGGAGGCAGCAGUGGGGAAUAUUGGGCAAUGGAGGAAACUCUGACCCAGCGACGCCGCGUGAGGGAUGAAGGCCUUCGGGUUGUAAACCUCUUUCAGCAGGGAAUAAGCGAAAGUGAAGGUACCUGCAGAAGAAGCACCGGCUAACUAUGUGCCAGCAGCCGCGGUAAUACAUAGGGUGCAAGCGUUGUCCGGAAUUAUUGGGCGUAAAGAGCUCGUAGGUGGUCGAUCACGUCGGAUGUGAAAAUCUGAGGCUUAACCUCAGACCUGCAUUCGAUACGGGUUGACUAGAGUGUGGUAGGGGAGACUGGAAUUCCUGGUGUAGCGGUGGAAUGCGCAGAUAUCAGGAGGAACACCGAUGGCGAAGGCAGGUCUCUGGGCCAUUACUGACACUGAGGAGCGAAAGCGUGGGGAGCGAACAGGAUUAGAUACCCUGGUAGUCCACGCCGUAAACGGUGGGCGCUAGUUGUGGGAACCUUCCACGGUUUCUGCGACGCAGCUAACGCAUUAAGCGCCCCGCCUGGGGAGUACGG